This 552-nucleotide long non-coding RNA is filed under the name Brassica napus (rape). Its description in RNAcentral is "long non-coding RNA (BNAP_LNC015266)". Lineage: Eukaryota; Viridiplantae; Streptophyta; Magnoliopsida; Brassicales; Brassicaceae. The record is from RNAcentral.
CCCCUUACUCACUUAACUUGUUUACAAACGACCAUACUAAGCUUUUAUAUGAGCUUUACAACUUGUAUUCCUUUGGAAACCCUAACAUGAGAGAUCAGAUAAGAAGGGUGGAGAUCUUCUGGUUUGAAUUGGAUGAUGUAGAUUAAGUCUUAGUGCUUUACAAUCUCUUUGUAUGCGCAUGAUUGGAGGAUGAGAGGAACGGCUAGUAACACUCCACACUUGCCUCAUGUAUCUGUCCAUCUAACUGUCCAGAUACAUAGUCAGCUGUGUCUCUUACUUUACAGCUCACGCCAGCCUGUCUUUGACCAUCCUACUCCAAUUAGAAUCAGGCGCCAACUCCAUUUGAACUCACACAGCACACAGCAUCUUCUUGAUGCUCUUUUGAUGCUUAUCUUUAACCCGGACUUUGUACUCUUAUCUUGGGACAUUCCAUGGCUGUACGGUGAUGCCACUGCCGUACACCAACGCCCUAUCUUUGCACCAUCAUCCAUCAACUCCCAAACUCCUCCAAAGUUCUCCCAACUCUGAUUCUAUUCCUUCUAAAUCAUUAUC